RNAcentral lists this unclassified non-coding RNA (146 nucleotides) under soil metagenome. RNAcentral describes it as "partial internal transcribed spacer 1". The record is from RNAcentral.
CCGAGUUUACAACUCCCAAACCCCUGUGAACAUACCACUUGUUGCCUCGGCGGAUCAGCCCGCUCCCGGUAAAACGGGACGGCCCGCCAGAGGACCCCUAAACUCUGUUUCUAUAUGUAACUUCUGAGUAAACAUCAAAUAAAUUA